UACGAAGGGGGCUAGCGUUGCUCGGAAUUACUGGGCGUAAAGCGCACGUAGGCGGCUUCUUAAGUCGGUGGUGAAAUCCUGGAGCUCAACUCCAGAACUGCCUUCGAUACUGGGAAGCUCGAGUCCGGGAGAGGUGAGUGGAACUGCGAGUGUAGAGGUGAAAUUCGUAGAUAUUCGCAAGAACACCGGUGGCGAAGGCGGCGUUCUGGACUGCAACUGACACUGUAAAACGAAAGCCAGGGGAGCAAACGGG
RNAcentral lists this ribosomal RNA (253 nucleotides) under uncultured bacterium. Its description in RNAcentral is "partial 16S ribosomal RNA". It matches the Rfam family "Bacterial small subunit ribosomal RNA", at positions 524 to 776 of the family's 1533-position model. The record is from RNAcentral.